Molecule: ribosomal RNA, 370 nt
Filed under: uncultured bacterium
Lineage: Bacteria
Description: bacterial SSU rRNA
Rfam family: Bacterial small subunit ribosomal RNA
Source: RNAcentral
GGGCCCGCACAAGCGGUGGAGUAUGUGGUUUAAUUCGAUGCAACGCGAAGAACCUUACCAGGGUUUGACAUCCUGCGAAUCUCUUGGAAACGAGAGAGUGCCUUCGGGAGCGCAGUGACAGGUGGUGCAUGGCUGUCGUCAGCUCGUGUCGUGAGAUGUUGGGUUAAGUCCCGCAACGAGCGCAACCCACGUCUUUAGUUGCCAGCAUUUAGUUGGGCACUCUAGAGAGACCGCCGGUGAUAAACCGGAGAAGGUGUGGAUGACGUCAAGUCAUCAUGCCCCUUACAUCUGGGCUACACACGUACUACAAUGCUACGGACAAAGGGCAGCAAACUCGCGAGAGCUAGCAAAUCCCAUAAACGUGGCUCAG